UACGAAGGGUGCAAGCGUUACUCGGAAUUACUGGGCGUAAAGGGCUCGUAGGCGGCCAACUAAGUCGGAUGUGAAAUCCCCAGGCUUAACCUGGGAACUGCAUCCGAUACUGGAUAGCUUGAAUCCGGGAGAGGGAUGCAGAAUUCCAGGUGUAGCGGUGAAAUGCGUAGAUAUCUGGAGGAAUACCGGUGGCGAAGGCGGCAUCCUGGACCGGCAUUGACGCUGAGUGAGCGAAAGCCAGGGGAGCAAACGGG
RNAcentral lists this ribosomal RNA (254 nucleotides) under uncultured bacterium. RNAcentral describes it as "partial 16S ribosomal RNA". It matches the Rfam family "Bacterial small subunit ribosomal RNA", at positions 524 to 776 of the family's 1533-position model. The record is from RNAcentral.